This 468-nucleotide ribosomal RNA is filed under the name uncultured bacterium. Its description in RNAcentral is "partial 16S ribosomal RNA". It matches the Rfam family "Bacterial small subunit ribosomal RNA", at positions 28 to 507 of the family's 1533-position model. The record is from RNAcentral.
GACGAACGCUGGCGGCGUGCUUAACACAUGCAAGUCGAACGGAAAGGCCCUGCUUUGGUGGGGUGCUCGAGUGGCGAACGGGUGAGUAACACGUGAGUAACCUGCCCUUGACUUUGGGAUAACUUCAGGAAACUGGGGCUAAUACCGGAUAGGAGCUCCUGCUGCAGGGUGGGGGUUGGAAAGUUUCGGCGGUUGGGGAUGGACUCGCGCCUUAUCAGCUUGUUGGUGGGGUAGUGGCUUACCAAGGCUUGGACGGGUAGCCGGCCUGGGAGGGUGACCGGCCACAUUGGGACUGAGAUACGGCCCAGACUCCUCCGGGAGGCAGCAGUGGGGAAUAUUGCCCAAUGGGCGGAAGCCUGAUGCAGCAACGCCGCGUGCGGGAUGACGGCCUUCGGGUUGUAAACCGCUUUCGCCUGUGACGAAGCGUGAGUGACGGUAAUGGGUAAAGAAGCACCGGCUAACUACGUG